AGAGUUUGAUCCUGGCUCAGGACGAACGUUGGCGGCGUGCCUUACACAUGCAAGCCGAACGCGAAUGGGAAACCAGCUUGCUGGGGACCCUAGUAGAGUGGCGAACGGGAGCGUAACACGUGAGGAACCUGCCUCGGAGUGGGGAAUAACCCCGAGAAAUCGGAGCUAAUUCCGCAUGAUGCAGCGGCCCCGCAUGGGGACUGCUGUUAAAGACGGCCUCUGCUUGCAAGCCGUCGCUUCGAGAUGGCCUCGCGGCCUAUCAGCUAGUUGGUGAGGUAACGGCUCACCAAGGCGACGACGGGUAGCCGGCCUGAGAGGGUGUCCGGCCUCAUUGGGACUGAGACACGGCCCAGACUCCUACGGGAGGCAGCAGUGAGGAAUCUUGCGCAAUGGGCGAAAGCCUGACGCAGCGACGCCGCGUGAGGGAUGAAGGCCUUCGGGUUGUAANCCUCUGUCGGGGGGGACGAACACGGAAUCGGUG
Molecule: ribosomal RNA, 481 nt
Filed under: uncultured Latescibacterota bacterium
Lineage: Bacteria; Pseudomonadati; Candidatus Latescibacterota
Description: bacterial SSU rRNA
Rfam family: Bacterial small subunit ribosomal RNA
Source: RNAcentral